Molecule: ribosomal RNA, 468 nt
Filed under: uncultured bacterium
Lineage: Bacteria
Description: partial 16S ribosomal RNA
Rfam family: Bacterial small subunit ribosomal RNA
Source: RNAcentral
GACGAACGCUGGCGGCGUGCUUAACACAUGCAAGUCGAACGGAAAGGCCCUGCUUUUGUGGGGUGCUCGAGUAGCGAACGGGUGAGUAACACGUGAGUAACCUGCCCUUGACUUUGGGAUAACUUCAGGAAACUGGGGCUAAUACCGGAUAGGAGCUCCUGCUGCAUGGUGGGGGUUGGAAAGUUUCGGCGGUUGGGGAUGGACUCGCGGCUUAUCAGCUUGUUGGUGGGGUAGUGGCUUACCAAGGCUUUGACGGGUAGCCGGCCUGAGAGGGUGACCGGCCACAUUGGGACUGAGAUACGGCCCAGACUCCUACGGGAGGCAGCAGUGGGGAAUAUUGCACAAUGGGCGGAAGCCUGAUGCAGCAAGGCCGCGUGCGGGAUGACGGCCUUCGGGUUGUAAACCGCUUUCGCCUGUGACGAAGCGUGAGUGACGGUAAUGGGUAAAGAAGCACCGGCUAACUACGUG